GUAGGUGGCAAGCGUUGUCCGGAAUUAUUGGGCGUAAAGCGCGCGCAGGGCGGUCCUUUAAGUCUGAUGUGAAAGCCCACGGCUCAACCGUGGAGGGUCAUUGGAAACUGGGGGACUUGAGUACAGAAGAGGAAAGCGGAAUUCCAAGUGUAGCGGUGAAAUGCGUAGAGAUUUGGAGGAACACCAGUGGCGAAGGCGGCUUUCUGGUCUGUAACUAACGCUGAGGCGCGAAAGCGUGGGGAGCAAACAGGAUUAGAUACCCUGGUAGUCCACGCCGUAAACGAUGAGUGCUAAGUGUUAGGGGGUUUCCGCCCCUUAGUGCUGCAGCUAACGCAUUAAGCACUCCGCCUGGGGAGUACGGCCGCAAAGGCUG
RNAcentral lists this ribosomal RNA (373 nucleotides) under uncultured organism. RNAcentral's name for it is "partial 16S ribosomal RNA". It matches the Rfam family "Bacterial small subunit ribosomal RNA", at positions 527 to 896 of the family's 1533-position model. The record is from RNAcentral.